This 548-nucleotide ribosomal RNA is filed under the name uncultured archaeon. RNAcentral describes it as "bacterial SSU rRNA". It matches the Rfam family "Archaeal small subunit ribosomal RNA", at positions 326 to 875 of the family's 1478-position model. The record is from RNAcentral.
CGGGGUGCACCAGGCGCGAAAACUUUACAAUGCGGGAAACCGUGAUAAGGGGACACCGAGUGCCAGCAUCAUAUGCCGGCUGCCCAGGUGUGUAAAAUACACCUGUUAGCAAGAGCCGGGCAAGACCGGUGCCAGCCGCCGCGGUAACACCGGCGGCCCGAGUGGUGAUCGUGAUUAUUGGGUCUAAAGGGUCCGUAGCCGGUUUGGUCAGUCCUCCGGGAAAUCUGAUAGCUUAACUAUUAGGCUUUCGGAGGAUACUGCCAGACUUGGAACCGGGAGAGGUAAGAGGUACUACAGGGGUAGGAGUGAAAUCUUGUAAUCCCUGUGGGACCACCUGUGGCGAAGGCGUCUUACCAGAACGGGUUCGACGGUGAGGGACGAAAGCUGGGGGCACGAACCGGAUUAGAUACCCGGGUAGUCCCAGCCGUAAACGAUGCUCGCUAGGUGUCAGGCAUGGCGCGACCGUGUCUGGUGCCGCAGGGAAGCCGUGAAGCGAGCCACCUGGGAAGUACGGCCGCAAGGCUGAAACUUAAAGGAAUUGCGGGGGA